Non-coding RNA from Sturnus vulgaris (Common starling), 291 nucleotides. NCBI's taxonomy places the organism in Eukaryota, Metazoa, Chordata, Aves, Passeriformes, Sturnidae. The record is from RefSeq and is a predicted model, not a curated record.
GAACAUUGUAAAAAAUCCAUGCUCCUGCUUCCGAGAGAGGAUGUGCUGCCUGGCCCAAGGGAAGCUCUCUGCACUCAAGGAACCAGCCACCAAGCUUUUUUGACAAUUUUACACGGUACACAAGAGGGAACUCUGCCUUGGGCAGAAGUACAUAAUUUUCACGUGAGUGGUUGUGGAGUCCAUCUUGUUGCUCUCAUGGUUGCAUUCGCUCUUUUUUCCGCCCAUGGAUUUGGGAAUGCUGACACUACUAAGUGGCAUGGAAAGAGUGUCAUGAUGGAGAUCCCAAACUCC